GUGGGGAAUAUUGGACAAUGGGCGAAAGCCUGAUCCAGCCAUGCCGCGUGUGUGAAGAAGGUCUUCGGAUUGUAAAGCACUUUAAGUUGGGAGGAAGGGUAGUAACCUAAUACGUUGCUACUUUGACGUUACCGACAGAAUAAGCACCGGCUAACUUCGUGCCAGCAGCCGCGGUAAUACGAAGGGUGCAAGCGUUAAUCGGAAUUACUGGGCGUAAAGCGCGCGUAGGUGGUUCAGUAAGUUGGAAGUGAAAUCCCCGGGCUCAACCUGGGAACUGCUUUCAAAACUGCUGAGCUAGAGUACGGUAGAGGGUGGUGGAAUUUCCUGUGUAGCGGUGAAAUACGUAGAUAUAGGAAGGAACACCAGUGGCGAAGGCGACCACCUGGACUGAUACUGACACUGAGGUGCGAAAGCGUGGGGAGCAAACAGGAUUAGAAACCCCGGUAGUCC
This 450-nucleotide ribosomal RNA is filed under the name uncultured bacterium. RNAcentral describes it as "partial 16S ribosomal RNA". It matches the Rfam family "Bacterial small subunit ribosomal RNA", at positions 354 to 796 of the family's 1533-position model. The record is from RNAcentral.